Balaenoptera musculus (blue whale) is the source of this 3947-nucleotide long non-coding RNA. RefSeq lists it as uncharacterized. The record is from RefSeq and is a predicted model, not a curated record. The transcript is spliced from 3 exons. Lineage: Eukaryota; Metazoa; Chordata; Mammalia; Artiodactyla; Balaenopteridae.
CUGUCGAAGUUUAAGAAAGUUAAGGUAGGUUUGGAGCAACGCUGCUGGGCGGUCCCUCGGCAGAGCGUGCCUCUGCGAGUCGCCUCUGUGUCCUCCGUUCGCUGGCGGAGGGGAGCAGGCGCGAGGUGGGCUCCCGGGUCGGUGAGGGGCCGGCGCCCAGUGGGGCAGCGCUGGCGAGGGAAGGGGGUGCAUUUCAGAUCCCUGCUCUCGGAGCUCUGCUGCUCAGGGUCGUAAGACCCUCCAAAUACGAUAGACGGACGCUGUCGGGUAACAUAAACCUGGUUCCGUGAGAAGGAAUUUGUGUGUGUUCAUCUCAAAACGUGGGCAAUAGAAGGAAUUUGCAGUGAAGACACUGACUUAUAACGAGAUGAGGCAAGUUACCAAACUUCCAUAAUGGUGACGUUUAUUACUAAAAGGAGCGAAAUUUUUCUUUAAUCUCGACAGUGUCCCUCACUUGCGGAUAGUGAAGAAUGUAGUAAUGGUAUGAUUUAAACAGUUAUAUUCGUUAAGGAAAGUUAUUUUCAUUUUGGAAGCAACCAAGCCAUUUUUCCAGCUAAAACAAGGGAAGAAAGGCAAAGGUAACGUUUUAACCGCUUCAUCAGUGAGAAAAAUCAGAACACAGUCGACAUUGCCUUUUUGUCAAUGUGCAAAACGAUUGCCUGUAUUAACAGACAGUUUACAUGUACCAGGACAUAAGGAGGAAGAAAAGAAAGUGCAGGUUGAGACCGAUGUGUGAGAGAAUGCACAGGAGGGCAUCUGUGUCAGGUUAGUGGCUUCGCCUCUGGAGUGAGGGCCCACCUGCACGGAACGGACCGUGUGGGUUUACUUCAGCCAGGCUACGUCAGGGGGCAUUUCUUUGGAGAUGGCGGAUGGUACCCAUAAGUAGGGUCCCGCUGGAGGACAUUGUCAGGGAAGCAUGAGAUCAGCAUCAGGGGCACAUCUGCCCACACGUGAGCCACAGUUCUGCAGCGCGGGGCGGACCGCCACGCAGCAGGCCCGGCGGUGAGUGCAGGCCGCAUUGCUGUCACUGGAGCUGGGCUCCCGAGAGGCCCAGUGGGAAGAGCUGGGGGUCCCAGGGGUGCAGGAGCAGCACGGGGGGAGGCGGGCCCCUGCCCCCUGCAUUCACGCCCGUCUCCUCGCUGUACCUGCCCCCAGUGUUGGGAAGCCCUUGCUGGGGCAGUGGAGCGCGGCCCUUCCUGCCCCGUCCCUGCCCUCUGCGGGCCUGGUGUGGGGUGGGAGUCACUCACUGAGCGGCAGUCGGCUGCCUGAUGGUCCUGUUGACGGCGUUCAGAGGGGGGACCCUUGGGCCAGGCCCGUCUCUUGGUCACGGUUGAACACAAUACCUGCCGGAAAACCCUCGGUCUGUUCUGUGGUCCACACGCAGGAGGCCCUGGGAUACCAGCGUGCUCUGCUCUGAAGGGACCAGGAAUUCUCACGCCUGCCUUGGGUGUGUCAAGCGCUGACCUCUCAGGAGGAGCCUGGUGCCUGUCUGACCGUCCUGGCAGGCGUGGAGUGAGUUACUGAAAUGGGCUGAACGAGGAACCGCCAGCGGGUGGAGGGCAGGGUCCAGCCGAGGCCCGUCUCGGCCACUUCUUGGGGCCUCCAGGGUUGGGAUUGUGCUGUCGCCGUGUUGCCAGGCAGUGGCUGCGCACCUGGAGACCUGCACCCACCUGUGACAGGCAGGACGGGAAGGGUGUGCACAUGUGGUAGCCGUGUGAGCCCCGGCUUGCCGUGAGGGGUGUGUGUUGGGGGGUGCGAGAGGGGUGCUGCCCCGGGCCCAGGCCCGAGCCUGCUCACCGAGGCUCGCCCGGGGCUGGCUGCGUCCGCACCGUGGCCCACCCCCGGGGGCGCCCGCUUCCCGGAGGUGUGGGACGACCUGGGACAAAACGUGUUGCCUGUUUGCAUCCCAGGCGCUUCCACGUUGGGGUGGAAGCACACUCCAGAAGCUGCGUCUGUGCUAACGCGUGUGCCGGUUCUGGGGAGCGUUUGGCAUUGCUUCCAUCGUCCUCAGGGGUGUCCACCUGCUUUGGGCCCCCCUCCGUGCGGCCGUCUCCUUCCUGCUGUUCCCCUGGGUGCCCGGCAGCCCCUGCUGGAGGACGGGCCCCAGCAUCUCGGUGCCCGGCGCCUCGUACCCACCGUCGAGGGUGGUCCACGUCCUUGAGGUCAUGUUGUCCGGGCUCGUGGACAUGCUGUACAAGAGCAGCUUCGUUCUCUGGUUUUACACAAAGGCAACUGCACUUUUUCUUCUUUGAAGGCUGAGUUAGUGACACUAGUCGGCACUUGGGACUGGUGGUUUUUCAGUCUUUGCUUCCUGCCCGUUUCCUGACACCUGGACAGCCCUGGGCAGGAGAGCGAGACUGACCAGGCCCCGAGCCUGGCUCCCGCUCCCUCCUGCGCCCUCCUCUGGACUCUCGGUCCCCCUACGUAACUGACCAGCAGCACAUCCUCGUCCCUGGCAAGAUUAACAGUGACUCUGUCGUGGUGCUGACUCGAUGUCACGACAGGACAAGCUGGAGGCUGUCGGUGGACUGCGGGUGGGCGGCCCGUGUGGCAGUGAGAAGAGAGGUCGUGACGUCUGGGAGGCACCUUUACGACGGGGUGUGGACAGUCCUUGUAUUUGGAGCCCUCUCAGCCCUCCCCUGGAACGGCUUCAGCCACGGGCAUUGCGUUUUUGUGGCCAUGCUGAGCUUUUCUGCAUGGACACCAUCUUCCUCGUCAGUCGUUCGGGUGCAGGUGUCGCAUACCCUGUGCAGCGUCCUCUCCCGCUCUCGCAGGUGAGGUGCGGGUGCAGCUUCCCAGCCUGGGGGUGGGGGAUGGCCGGGCGGCGGGGGGGCGGCCUGUCCCCCACUCCCCGGCUCAGUGCAGGUAACUCAAUCUCAGCCUCUGGUUUUCACAUCUCAAGCACGGAAGCAGCUGUUAGGGGAGAAGAUGACUCUCACGAGGUUGCUCUGGGAUUAAUUAAAACCUGUCAGCGCUCUGCGCCACUAGGGCCUCGCGCCAGCAUCUGUUCCUGCCCUGUCCCGUGUGUCCACCAGGAACGCGCCCGGCAGGAGCGGGGUCAGCCAGCCUGGCCCAGAGGGAGCUCACAGGCGCACCUGUCAGUAACCCGGGCCUCCGGCAGGUAGGAAAGGCUGGCCAGGCUGAGCGAAAGCUUUAGGCCUGUCUGCGGGGCAGCCUGGUCUGGAAACCAGGUAAAAACUAGCUUUUAGGGCCUCUCAGACGCAGUACGUCGUGGUCUCCGCGGAAUCCACUCAGAAUUCACCCGGGUGUAGGGAAAUGGCAGUAACGUGGGUGCUGCUCUGGUUCUCAGUUGUGUUACUGGCAGCCGGACAAGUGAUGGGGCGCCGGCCAGCCCCAUGGGAGCCCCCAGCCCUGAAGCCACUGCUUGCCUCAGAUGACGGGCAUUUGUGCUGUUGCUUUUCUAUGUAGCUAUGUUACCUCAGGGUGUGUGCAUGUGAGUAUGUAACCUGCCUGUGUAGGUACCAUUUUGUGUCAUGCAGUUACUGGAAUGCACAGAAGUCUUUCUCAUCUUCACAAAGCGUUGCAGAUGGAAUCACCAGACACACACCCCAGCAUGGACGACGCAGAGAGCUGCGAAGAGCAGGCAUGUUUAUUUGGUUCCCUCCAGGGCUGCGGCAGCCACGCGGUUGUAAAAAAGGAACGGAGAGUAAGAUGUACAAAAACGUGAAAUAUCCUUUUAGAAAGUAACAUCAUCAGCCAUGUGUUUCCUAUGGAUCCUCCCUCCCUCUCCUGUGUCCCCACGCCCUGAAAGAAGACCCCCAAGCGCAACCAAGCUGUGAGAAGGAACAGGGGGAAUUGUCAAGCCACUUGGGUUUCAACCACAUUCCUGUCCUGGGACCCGACCAGCUCCAGAGUAUGGAUGAGGCAUCUGGAAGAAAUAUGCAUAUCUGUGAGGGAAGUCGAGGCAGGCACAGGACAAGAAUGUG